RNAcentral lists this unclassified non-coding RNA (220 nucleotides) under plant metagenome. RNAcentral's name for it is "partial contains small subunit ribosomal RNA, internal transcribed spacer 1, and 5.8S ribosomal RNA". The record is from RNAcentral.
UCUCCGUUGGUGAACCAGCGGAGGGAUCAUUACCGAGUUUACAACUCCCAAACCCCUGUGAACAUACCUUAACGUUGCUUCGGCGGACAACCCUCGCCUUAAACCGCGAGGCCCCGCCAGAGGACCCAAACCCCAACUUUAUGUUUUAUCUUAAACCUACAUCUCUGAGUGGAUUUUAUAAAUCAAAUCAAAACUUUCAACAACGGAUCUCUUGGCUCUG